ACGGGAGGCAGCAGUGGGGAAUAUUGCACAAUGGGGGAAACCCUGAUGCAGCGACGCCGCGUGAAGGAUGAAGUAUUUCGGUAUGUAAACUUCUAUCAGCAGGGAAGAAAAUGACGGUACCUGACUAAGAAGCCCCGGCUAACUACGUGCCAGCAGCCGCGGUAAUACGUAGGGGGCAAGCGUUAUCCGGAUUUACUGGGUGUAAAGGGAGCGUAGACGGCGAUGCAAGUCUGAUGUGAAAGCCCGGGGCUCAACCCCGGCACUGCAUUGGAAACUGUGUUGCUAGAGUGCAGGAGAGGUAAGUGGAAUUCCUAGUGUAGCGGUGAAAUGCGUAGAUAUUAGGAGGAACACCAGUGGCGAAGGCGGCUUACUGGACUGUAACUGACGUUGAGGCUCGAAAGCGUGGGGAGCAAACAGGAUUAGAUACCCUGGUA
Molecule: ribosomal RNA, 434 nt
Filed under: uncultured Lachnospiraceae bacterium
Lineage: Bacteria; Bacillati; Bacillota; Clostridia; Lachnospirales; Lachnospiraceae
Description: partial 16S ribosomal RNA
Rfam family: Bacterial small subunit ribosomal RNA
Source: RNAcentral